AGCUCCAAUAGCGUAUACUAAAGUUGUUGCGGUUAAAAAGCUCGUAGUUGGAUCUUGGAGCAUGUCGAACGGUCGUGCCUCUGGUAUGAACUGCUCGACGUGUUCUUCUAUUUGGUUGCGCGUGUGUGUUCUCUUAAUUGAGUGCCGCACUCGACCGAAACGUUUACCUUGAAAAAAUUAGAGUGUUCAAAGCAGACCUGUUUGUGUCUGAAUAUUCGUGCAUGGAAUAAUGAAAUAUGAACUCGGUUCUAUUUUGUUGGUUUUCGGAACUCGAGUUAAUGAUUAAGAGGGACGGACGGGGGCAUUAGUACUCUGCCGUUAGAGGUGAAAUUCUUGGAUCGGCGGAAGACUAACAACUGCGAAAGCAUUUGCCAAGAAUGUUUUCUUUAAUCAAGAACGA
Molecule: ribosomal RNA, 400 nt
Filed under: phytoplankton environmental sample
Lineage: Eukaryota
Description: partial small subunit ribosomal RNA
Rfam family: Eukaryotic small subunit ribosomal RNA
Source: RNAcentral